Molecule: non-coding RNA, 118 nt
Organism: Verticillium dahliae VdLs.17
Lineage: Eukaryota; Fungi; Ascomycota; Sordariomycetes; Glomerellales; Plectosphaerellaceae
Source: Rfam
CCCGAGGUGGUGUAAUUGGUUCAGCAUUCCAACCUUGACGACCGUGGACGCCAGUUGCGCUGAAGCGGGCCCUUCCGGGGGGAGGGGAGGGAUCCGGGUUCGAAUCCCGGCCUCGGGG